Molecule: long non-coding RNA, 2676 nt
Organism: Lytechinus pictus (painted urchin)
Lineage: Eukaryota; Metazoa; Echinodermata; Echinoidea; Temnopleuroida; Toxopneustidae
Exons: 4
Source: RefSeq, a predicted model, not a curated record
AGUAUUGUCAAUAACAUGGCGGAAGCUGCGACGGCGUCCAAAAUGAUAUUUUUUCCUCUCUAAUUUCUGCUGUUAGACCACCAAGAAUAGGAAAUAUAUUUGGAAUUUAACAUCGACACGAGAAGCCAUGAGCGAUAGGGUAGAAUGGGUGGAGAUAAUAGAACCCAAAACACAGCGGCCCAUGUACGGCAAUCUCAGGACGGGAGAGCUGGCAUGGGAACCACCCUCAAGCGCAAAAGUGUAAGUUUGUUUUUGUUGAAUUGUUUUGAUUUUAAUACGAAGUUCCACGGUGAAGGCAUGGCUCGAUAUUAGCAGUGGCCCGAGGCAACCAAUACUGAGAGUCGGGCCACCAAAAUUCUGUAAAAACCCAGUAGUGGUGCGGCCGGGCUGCCAAAGUUUUGAUAUAAAUUGUUUUGUUUUUUGUUGUCUUUAGGCCACCAAGAAUAUUAAGUCGAUGAUUUUGGUGGACCGAUCGGGCCACCAAGAAACAGGGGUGUGAGAGUUCAGAUUUUUAUCUGAUUUCAGAUUUUUUUGUUUUGAUUUUCAGCUUAAUUUCAGCUUAUUUUUUGCCUUCCUCUGUCCAAAAAGUAUGGGAGCUCUUUCUAUUUCAGACUUUUUCAACACUCUUCAGCUUUUUUCAGAUCUUUUUAUGUGUGACCACUCACACCUCUGAAGAAAACAAGUUUAGUGUGGAGUCCUAUGGGGGGGGGGGUAGUGGAGGAAAUGGAAUGGGGAGAAUGAGGAGAGGAGACUGAAUGUAGAAAGUGUGUUUAAUACUAGCAGGAAAGGGACUGAGAGGGGAUGAGGAAGGAUGGAGCAGGGAUGAAAAGAAGGGAGUGAAACAGAGAGAGAGAGAGGGAGAGUGAGGUUGGGGAGGGGUGUAUUCCCUGGUAGCAUGUACACAUGUGUAGGAGGCUGCUACAUGUAUUUUAAUGUACCGGUAUUCAGGGCUGUAAAUAGAUGUUGUCAUUCAUGGAUGCGAAGGAGAGUUUUUUACAUUCUGUACUGAUGUUGGAAUCACACUUCUUGAUCGGCCUACCCCAAAUCGGAUGGAGUCUUUUUUUGUGUGAUGGCAACGCGAUGUUUCCAUACUGCACACGUACAUGUACAUGUACACACCUACAUGUACAUACAGGUACAUGUAUGGUGUAAUGCACAUACAUGUACAUGUAAGUUUUGUUAUAUGCCUACAGUAUUCAUGUACACGUGUACAUGUACAAUGACUGCAAAUAAUGAAAGGGAGACAGAUUUUUAGGCCUGUACACUGUACAUACAGUACAUGUAUUUUGCACAAUCCCUGCAUACACUGUACACUGCAGUGCCAGUAUACUAGUCUGUAUACUGUACUGCUUGUGCAGUUUCUGUGUACAUGUAUGUACAUUGUACAUGUGUUUGUGAAAAUGAUAUUUGCAGAUUUCUGUUCUGUUAUUUUGCUUUCAUACAUGUACAUGUACAUGUACAUGUAGAUUGUCACCUUCUUCCAUAUUAUGCCUGCAUACAUGUACAUGUAGCCUACCUUGACAUGUACAUGUACAAGUACUUGUACAGUACUUUUUACUUUAACAUACAUGUACAUGUAGGCCUACACAUAUGUACAGGUGUACUGUAUACUGCAAAGUUAAUUUCCAAAUAGGCCUAUACAGUGGGCUAGUACUAUUCAGUACACCCUUCAGAGUUCAGUAUGAAUACAUUCAUUUUUCUGUAGGAUAGGAAGUUGCUAUUUAUACCGUGAUUGAUACUGUACAAUACUUCCACACACAAUGACAUUCCUAAGUGAGUUCAUACAGGGACUGUUCAAGGCCAUUGUAUUUUAUCCCAGGUCAUUGUUUAUCAUGUUUGUUUUCAUAUUUUGUUCCUCUCACAGAGUUUAGGUGAACAGUGUUUGUUUGCUUGAAUUCAAUGUCUCUGUAGAGAUAAGAUUGUCAUAAUUUGAACUUUUGAAAGUUCAGUGCACGUCCAAUGACCCUACAGUGUAUGGAAAGUUUAAUGUACAAUAUAUACAGAAUUUACCACCCCUGGGGGCCGUUUCAUAAAGCUGUUCACUUCAAGUAUUCAACAGCAAUGAAGUUCAGGCACUGAUAGGGCAGGCCUACAACAGGCUAGUCUGCAGGCACAGACCCUGAUUGAAACUUUGAUCAACAAGUGUGUCUCCACGGAGUCCACGCAAAGACUAGCACAUUAUACAAAUCUUGCUGUUUUAAUUCAGGAGAGAUCCUUCAGUACACAAGGCAUGAGUAGGCUGCAAUUCUCACCCUUUUCUCGAGUGAAGGGUUUACACAGCAGACUAACAACAGGCCUGCAUAUAAUGUACAUGUAUGGGCCCUACAGAGAGAGGAAAUUACACAGGAGGGCAACGGGUGAUUUUGCCCUCAUGAUGACUUCCCAAAUUGCCCAUAAAAUUCCCCUACAAAAAGGCAACAAGACAUGCUUUGGGGGACAAUGCUACAUGUAUUUAAUACAAUGUAGAGUCGCCCCAAGAUCUGUCUGUGUCACAAACACUGGUAUUCAAGAUUAUUAAAAAAAUAAAUAUUCUAACUACAUGUACACUUCUUCUUUACUACAUGUACAUGUAUGGCAGAAUAAUGCUUGUUGCAACAAAAGAAGCAGCCCUUAAAAUGACAGAAAUACAUGUAGCCCCCAAAACUCCGCAAUUGCACCAAUGUGGAAAAAUAGCCC